This is a non-coding RNA of Pelobates cultripes (western spadefoot toad), 393 nucleotides long. The record is from the annotation of a GenBank genome assembly. Lineage: Eukaryota; Metazoa; Chordata; Amphibia; Anura; Pelobatidae.
GUGUGUAUAUAUAUAUAUAUAUAUUUGUGUUUGGGGCAUUCUCAUAUGAUAUAGAAUAAGAUUGGUUGUAGAGAUGUAGCUUUAGGAAUAAUUGGUUGAGGUGUGCCGAAACUGACGUAUGCUGUAGGCCGGUAAAAAGUGGGCAAAAAGACAUAUUAAUGCAAAACAUUAUACAGGAUGAUAGUGCAUUUGUUUACCAUCAGGUAGACAUUUUAAUGAAAGCUUCCUAAUUCCUGAAUCGGCUGUGGUAUGUAAGUCGCAUAAGCCUAUGAUUCCCAGCGGCCUCGUGUCUUAACGUGUGCGGGGUUGUCUUGGCUAUAGGCCGUGGAGGCUGCUCCAAUCCUAAAGGAGUGCCCUGAGUAGUCGCUAGGGUUUAGUUCGAGCCCGGUGAGU